RNAcentral lists this ribosomal RNA (385 nucleotides) under Chlamydomonas sp. RNAcentral's name for it is "partial small subunit ribosomal RNA". It matches the Rfam family "Eukaryotic small subunit ribosomal RNA", at positions 583 to 975 of the family's 1831-position model. Lineage: Eukaryota; Viridiplantae; Chlorophyta; Chlorophyceae; Chlamydomonadales; Chlamydomonadaceae. The record is from RNAcentral.
UUCCAGCUCCAAUAGCGUAUAUUUAAGUUGCUGCAGUUAAAAAGCUCGUAGUUGGAUUUCGGGCGGUUGACGACGGUCCGCCUCUGGUGUGCACUGCCGUUCUUCCGCCUUUCUGUCGGGGACGUGCUCCUAGGCUUCAUUGUCUGGGACACGGGUUCGACGUGGUUACUUUGAGUAAAUUAGAGUGUUCAAAGCAGGCAUCGCCUUGAAUAUAUUAGCAUGGAAUAGCACGAUAGGACUCUGGCCUAUUUUGCUGGUCUGUAGGACCGGAGUAAUGAUUAAGAGGGACAGUCGGGGGCAUUCGUAUUUCAUUGUCAGAGGUGAAAUUCUUGGAUUUAUGAAAGACGAACUUCUGCGAAAGCAUUUGCCAAGGAUGUUUUCAUUG